CUCUCCCUGCAGCUCCUUAAACCGGAACCGAAACCGAAACCUACCUCCGACAUCGACGAGGUAGGUUAAUAUGAACUGGGUCCUUCAAUUGAUAUUCACUCUGUUUUAGGGUUGCUACACGGCGUCGAAGUAGUUUGAGGUUGACGCAAAUUUCAGAAGAGGCGGAGGAGACCACAGUAGUGAUCCAUUUGAGGCUAUGUCAACUAGCAGGUUUCGUCACAAACCUACAAUCUCGAUGCGAACCUCUGCCUUCUUCGUCUCUAUCAGGUGAUUUAGGGUUUAGGAAUAGAGUUUCUGGGUUUGACUAGUUUCUGUUUGGAUUCUGUGCUUUGUUGUGAUGGUUUGUUCCUGUAAUUUUUUGGUAUAAUUUGAGCCAGAGCGUAUUGGAACUCAAAUUGUUGCUUGUAUUUUGGUUAAGGUUUGCAUUUCAAUCUUGAAAAGCUUUCGACUUUUGAUUUAGAUUGUUAUUGAUUAAGUGGUGGAAUAAGAAAUCUGUUUGAAGUUUUCUGUAUGUUAAUGUGUAGGCACUGAAGGCAGUGCCAGCUUCCGAUUUCAGCCUUGUCUCUUCCAAAUUCCAGAAAGAGUGACAGGAAGAUUCAGUCAAUUUUAGGAUGAAGCAUCUAAGAAUUGUCACAUACUUGAAGCUGUCUCAGGAAGAUUCAGUCAAUUUGUGGUGAGAAAUUGGUGAUUGCUUGUCAUGAAGGGCAAGACCAUUUGAGGCUUAGGAUAUGGUCUUCAAAGGGAGACUCUUUGUAUUUCUGCUAAUUCUUCAAGCACAGAGAAGUACACAAUAGAGUUGUUGAGUGCAAUGGGUAAGAUGGCAUUGAAGAUAGAAGAACUGGUUGGAAGCCAAGUUUGCGGCGUAUGCAAAAGUAAAUGUGUCCCCCUUAUGAUGAUGGUACUGGUGAGAAUGACCAAGAAAUAGAUAUUGAAGAUGAGGAGAAUUUUGGCUAUAUGUAUUAAUCUUGUUAGGUUUUCGUAAGCUAACUACUUAUUAGGACGUUAUUUAUCUUAUUUUAACAUACGAAUCUUCUUACUUGCAUAAGUAUUUUUAGUUGAAGACUCAUGAAGUAUAUUUA
Rosa chinensis is the source of this 1079-nucleotide long non-coding RNA. RefSeq lists it as uncharacterized. The record is from RefSeq and is a predicted model, not a curated record. NCBI's taxonomy places the organism in Eukaryota, Viridiplantae, Streptophyta, Magnoliopsida, Rosales, Rosaceae. The transcript has 4 exons.